CUCAACCUCGGACGUGCUUUGGAUACUGGCAGCCUUGAGUUCGCGAGAGGAAAGCGGAAUUCCAGGUGUAGCGGUGAAAUGCUUAGAUAUCUGGAGGAACACCAGUGGCGAAAGCGGCUUUCUGGCGCGAAACUGACGCUGAGGCUCGAAAGCGUGGGGAGCGAACGGGAUUAGAUACCCCGGUAGUCCACGCCGUAAACGUUGUGCACUAGGUGUGGGAGGUAUCGACCCCUUCCGUGCCGCAGCUAACGCAUUAAGUGCACCGCCUGGGGAGUACGGUCGCAAGACUGAAACUCAAAGGAAUUGACGGGGGCCCGCACAAGCGGUGGAGCAUGUGGUUUAAUUCGAGGCAACGCGAAGAACCUUACCCAGGCUUGACAUCCCGGGACAGCCUACAAAAGUAGGUCUUCCCUUCGGGGACCC
RNAcentral lists this ribosomal RNA (423 nucleotides) under uncultured bacterium. RNAcentral's name for it is "bacterial SSU rRNA". It matches the Rfam family "Bacterial small subunit ribosomal RNA", at positions 608 to 1029 of the family's 1533-position model. The record is from RNAcentral.